RNAcentral lists this long non-coding RNA (737 nucleotides) under Cyanistes caeruleus (blue tit). RNAcentral describes it as "lncRNA (ENSCCEG00000003987.1)". The record is from RNAcentral. Lineage: Eukaryota; Metazoa; Chordata; Aves; Passeriformes; Paridae.
UGUUUCCGUGUGAGUUCCGGUUGUUUCCGUGUGAAUUCCGGGUGUUUUUGUGUGAAUUCCGUGUGUUUCCGUGAGUUCCGGCUGUUCCUGGGGUGGUUUCCGGUUGUUUCCGUGAGUUCCGGGUGUUCCUGUGUUGGUUUCUGUGUGAAUUCCGGCUGUUUCCGUGCGAGUUCCGUGUGUUUCUGUGAGUUCCGGCUGUUCCUGGGGUGGUUUCCGUGCGAGUUCCGGUUGUUUCCGUGUGAAUUCCGGUUGUUUCCAUGAGUUCCAGGUGUUUCUGUGGUGGUUUUUGGGUGAAUUCCGGGUGUUUCUGUGUGAAUUCCGGUUGUUUCCGUGUGAGUUUCGGGUGUUCCUGUGGUGGUUUCUGUGUGAAUUCCGGGUAUUUCCGUGUGAGUUCCGGUUGUUUCCGUGUGAGUUCCGGGUGUUUCCGUGUGAGUUCCGGUUGUUUCCGUGUGAGUUCCGGUGGUUUCCGUGUGAGUUCCGGUUGUUUCUGUGUGAGUUCCGGUUGUUUCCGUGUGAGUUCCUGUGGUGGUUUUUGGGUGAAUUCCGGCUGUUUCCGUGCGAGUUCCGGGUGUUUCCGCGAGCUCCGGCUGUUCCUGGGCUGCCCCCGCAGCCGGGGGGCUCGCGGGGUCCCUCUGAGCGCGCCGUUGCCGGGCAGGUGGCGCGGGCCGGGCGUUUCGGCACCAAGGGCUUGGCCAUCACCUUCGUGUCGGACGAGAACGACGCCAAAAUCCUCAACG